Molecule: unclassified non-coding RNA, 145 nt
Filed under: Lecanosticta acicola
Lineage: Eukaryota; Fungi; Ascomycota; Dothideomycetes; Mycosphaerellales; Mycosphaerellaceae
Also listed under: 5 other names
Description: Internal trancribed spacer region 2
Source: RNAcentral
CACCACUCAAGCCUGGCUUGGUAUUGGGCGUCGCGGCCUCCGCGCGCCUCAAAGUCUCCGGCUGAGCAGUCCGUCUCCGAGCGUUGUGACAUUUUCGCUAGGGAGUUCGCGUCUGCCGCGGCCGUUAAAUCAUUAACACCAAAGG